RNAcentral lists this ribosomal RNA (253 nucleotides) under uncultured bacterium. RNAcentral describes it as "partial 16S ribosomal RNA". It matches the Rfam family "Bacterial small subunit ribosomal RNA", at positions 524 to 776 of the family's 1533-position model. The record is from RNAcentral.
UACGGGGGGAGCAAGCGUUGUUCGGAAUUACUGGGCGUAAAGGGUUAGUAGGUGGCCAACUAAGUCAGACGUGAAAUCCCUCAGCUUAACUGGGGAACUGCGUCUGAGACUGAUUGGCUCGAGGACAGGAGAGGAACGCGGAAUUCCAGGUGUAGCGGUGAAAUGCGCAGAUAUCAGGAAGAACACCUAUGGCGAAGGCAGCUCUCUGGGACGGUACUGACGCUGAGACGCGAAAGCGUGGGGAGCGAACAGG